GACGAACGCUGGCGGCAUGCCUAAUACAUGCAAGUCGAGCGAACAGAUGAAGUGCUUGCACUCCUGACGUUAGCGGCGAACGGGUGAGUAACACGUAAGGAAUCUACCUAUAAGCGGGGGAUAACAUUCGGAAACGGGUGCUAAUACCGCAUAAUAUCUUCUUGCGCAUGGAAGAGGAUUGAAAGACGGCUCUGCUGUCACUUAUAGAUGACCUUGCGGUGCAUUAGUUAGUUGGUGGGGUAACGGCCUACCAAGACGAUGAUGCAUAGCCGACCUGAGAGGGGGAUCGGCCACAUUGGGACUGAGACACGGCCCAAACUCCUACGGGAGGCAGCAGUAGGGAAUCUUCCGCAAUGGGCGAAAGCCUGACGGAGCAAUGCCGCGUGAGUGAAGAAGGCCUUCGGGUCGUAAAACUCUGUUAUAAGAGAAGAACAAAUUGUAGAGUAACUGCUACAGUCUUGACGGUAUCUUAUCAGAAAGCCACGGCUAACUACGUGCCAGCCGCCGCCGUAA
This 513-nucleotide ribosomal RNA is filed under the name uncultured bacterium. Its description in RNAcentral is "partial 16S ribosomal RNA". It matches the Rfam family "Bacterial small subunit ribosomal RNA", at positions 28 to 523 of the family's 1533-position model. The record is from RNAcentral.